RNAcentral lists this unclassified non-coding RNA (273 nucleotides) under Hevea brasiliensis (rubber tree). The record is from RNAcentral. Lineage: Eukaryota; Viridiplantae; Streptophyta; Magnoliopsida; Malpighiales; Euphorbiaceae.
GCCUCGUCUACGAAGCUUUAAAAUGGUUUAGAAUGGAUGAAAGCUGUUUCAAAUGCUAUUAUAAAUAUUAGGAAGUUUUUUUUACCAGAAAAUAUUAGGAAGUUUGUGUUGGCUAAUAUGAAUGAAUGUAUUGUUGGACUAAGAUUUUUAGUUUGUAAUGAAUGCAUGCUUGGAUAUGGCUAUUAUUUUGAGUUUGAGGAUGGGCAUGGCAUUCUGAGAAAUGUUGUGCAAUGAAUCUUAUCUCAUAGCAUAUGAUGAGAUAGCAUAUUAAAA